Molecule: ribosomal RNA, 504 nt
Filed under: uncultured bacterium
Lineage: Bacteria
Description: bacterial SSU rRNA
Rfam family: Bacterial small subunit ribosomal RNA
Source: RNAcentral
GGGCAAGACGCUGGCGGCGGCCUAACACAUGCAGUCGAGCGGAUGAGUGGAGCUUGCUCCUUGAUUCAGCGGCGGACGGGUGAGUAAUGCCUAGGAAUCUGCCUGGUAGUGGGGGACAACGUUUCGAAAGGAACGCUAAUACCGCAUACGUCCUACGGGAGAAAGUGGGGGAUCUUCGGACCUCACGCUAUCAGAUGAGCCUAGGUCGGAUUACCUAGUUGGUGAGGUAAAGGCUCACCAAGGCGACGAUCCGUAACUGGUCUGAGAGGAUGAUCAGUCACACUGGAACUGAGACACGGUCCUGACUCCUACGGGAGGCAGCAGUGGGGAAUAUUGGACAAUGGGCGAAAGCCUGAUCCAGCCAUGCCGCGUGUGUGAAGAAGGUCUUCGGAUUGUAAAGCACUUUAAGUUGGGAGGAAGGGCAGUAAGUUAAUACCUUGCUGUUUUGACGUUACCAACAGAAUAAGCACCGGCUAACUUCGUGCCAGCCAGCCGCGGUAAGCC